GGCUGAGGCUGAGGUAUAGGUUGAGGCCGUGAUUGAGGAAGGGGAGGCUGAGGUUGUGGCUGUGGCUGUGAAGGGGGAGGCUGCUGUUGCUGUGGUGGUGCUUGUGUCCAAGAAAAAGGGGGUUGUGGUGCUGCUGCAGGCGGAGGGGGACUUGGUGAUUGCAUACGUGGCUGUGGCUGUGGCUGUGGCUGAGGAGGUUGUGAUGGUUGUCGGAUUUGCUGAUGCUGAUGAGGUGAUGUAACUUGAAAAGGUUGUACCUGUGGCUGAGGAGGCUGAGGCUGUUGUGGUUGUCUAGUUUGGUGAUGUGGUGGAGAAGUAAUUUGAAAAGGUUGUACCUGCGGUUGAGGAGGUUGUUGUGGUUGUCGAGUUUGCUGGUGUGGCGGAGAUGUGACUUGAAAAGGUUGUACCUGUGGUGGAGGAGGUUGUGAUGGCUGUCGAGUUUGCUGCCGGGGUGGAGAUGCAACUUGAAAAGGUUGUACCUGUGACGGAGGAGGUUGUGAUGGUUGUCGAGUUUGCUGCCGGGGCGGAGAUGCAACUUGAAAAGGUUGUACCUGUGGCGGAGGAGGUUGUGAUGGUUGUCGAGUUUGCUGCCGGGGUGGAGAUGCAACUUGAAAAGGUUGUGCUUGAGAUUGAAACAGUUGUUCCUGCUCCCGGUGGUGAAACAGUUGCUCCUGCUCACGCUUAGGAGGUUGUAGUUGCUGUCUACUUUGCUGAUGUGGUGGAGAUGUAACUUGAAAAGGCUGUACCUGUGGCGGAGGAGGUUGUGGUUGUUGUCUAGCUUGCUGAUGCGGUGGAGAUGAAACUUGAAAAGGUUGUGCUUGAGGCUGAAACAGAUGUUCCUGUUCACGAUGCUGAAAUAGUUGCUCUUGCCUUACCGGACUCGGUUGUGACAGAAAAUUAUGCUGCUGCAAUUGCUGCUGUUGAUGACUCUGUUGAACCCUAGUUUGAAAUGUCUGUUGUGGCUCAGGCAAAUCCUGCUCAUGACUCGACCCCAUGUGAUUAAUCGAAAAAAAAUUAUGCUGCUGAUGACUCUGCUGCUGUUGCUGGUGGUGAUGUUGUUGCUGGUGGUGGUGCUGUUGUUCGAGGUUAAACCCUAUAGUGUUCAUCUGUUGUUGCGGCGGAAAAUCAAGCUCCGAAUCAUACAUAGAUUUCCGCAUAGGGUUCGAUAACACAGCCCAAGCAUCAUUCACAAGCUGAAACGCUUGAUCGGAGUAAGGAAACCUGUUUUGGUGAGGAUUUAGUGUAACGGCAAGCCGCCGGAACUGCGAGGCGAUGUGGUCUGUAUCCUGAACGAACCUGACGAGCUGCAGAAUCGCGUAGUAAUCCGGCUGCUGAGCGCCGUUGUUUCCGACGACUCGUUUUUCGGCGGCGAGAAGCGUGUCGGCAAUUGCUAGGAUCUGUUCAGCAGCUUCGAGUCUGGGAUCGGAAUCUCGUGCUCGGAUCGCAAAUGUCUUGGAGCCGACGAGGUCAUGGCCCAUGAGCAGCUUCUCGGCGAUGCCGAGCCAUCGUUGCGCUUCCGCCCGUGCUAUGAAGCUAUGGGGGUCCAUAACCGUUUCUCUUUCUCUCUACAAAUCAAACCACAAUCGGAAAGUAGCCAUGGCGGCCGUGGAGAGUGGUCGGGAGUGGUGGAGGGUUAAAAAAGGGUUGCAGAUUUUUCUUUUUGACGGAAAAGGACUCGGCUUUUAUAAGGGAAGUGCAGCAACAAGGAGUGGAUAUGCAAGGGUAUUAAUGUCUUUUAAGGAUCUAAAGAUGUAAUCUAGUGUUUCAACUCUGAUUAGUUCACACUCGUGGUCGUUUAAGUUGAAUUAUUUCGAUCUGAUAUGCAAGAUUAUGUUAUUGCCAGAAUAAUAAUGACUAUUUUCAGAGCUAAUAUGCUUUACAGUGUUUUGUACAAUAUCGAUUGAAUUUGUACCUAUUAAUUUAUACAAAUUAUUUGUAAAGUUUUCUAUUUCCAUCGUGUUGUUAAAUUAAUUCAUUGUUACAUUUUGGAUAAAUAUCAUCAAUGCCAGAUAAUUUGUUUUCUUCUCCUCCUCGGUGCUCUUUCACCAUGGCGACAAAUCAACAUAUUUUUGGGCUUGCUACUAGGGAUGCUAACGGGGCGAGUUUUGGUAAUCCCGUCCCCAUCCCUGAAUAUGAAAAUCUUUCUCAUCACCGACCCGAUUUCCAACUGGUACCCG
This 2177-nucleotide long non-coding RNA is filed under the name Lactuca sativa (garden lettuce). Its description in RNAcentral is "long non-coding RNA (LSAT_LNC007522)". The record is from RNAcentral. Lineage: Eukaryota; Viridiplantae; Streptophyta; Magnoliopsida; Asterales; Asteraceae.